Molecule: long non-coding RNA, 1341 nt
Organism: Bombyx mori (domestic silkworm)
Lineage: Eukaryota; Metazoa; Arthropoda; Insecta; Lepidoptera; Bombycidae
Exons: 5
Source: RefSeq, a predicted model, not a curated record
UUUUAAUUGUAUGGCCAGGUUCAUUCUCGGAAUAAUGCUAAGCGGUUACAAGAAUUUGAAUAAUGCUGACUGAAACAUGGAAUAUUUUUUUAAGGGAUUUUAUAACCUGGUAAUUAAGAUCUUUAGAUAUUAAACAGUUAAUAAACCACCGUUAUUUCACAUUUAAACCUGGAGAAACACUAAACAAAAUAAAACGAAUCACAUAACUGCACUCCUCGCGUUCCCGCAAAAAAGUCCAACAUGGAAUAGUAUUCUCAGCGACAGUCUUCAACCUCCUACGCCCGUUCCAUAUUCAAUCAACCCUUUCGAUGGUGAUAAAUGGAGGAUGUCAGUUCUCUGAUUGAUGCGAUUCAUUCCUCAAUGUAGAAGAUUUCACAGUAGCGUGGUUCAAGGACCUGAGGGGCGUGAAAUGUAAAUUAAAGACGAGAAAAAUGGGGCCCAAAAGAAGACGCGAUGGCUUAAAAGAUAAGAUCCCACUGAUGUGUUUCAAAGGAGAAAAUCACCGGAUCCCCACCCGCUCGGGGAAUGGGGUCUGUGGGAGUUUAACCUCACCAAAAACUCCCGCCGCUCACAGCCGGCGCCCGACCCAGGACCGGGCCGGAACCCAAUCGGGGCCAUUGAGACGGCGGGACAGGGUUGACGCAGAGCAUGCUGCAUCCAUCCCGCCAUCCUCCAGAGGCUGGACUAGCGACCACCGGCAACACGACCACCGGUUCCCUCGUUCGGCGGGUUGGUGGUCCGCCAUGAUGGCACCGCGCUGCACCUUCCCCCGGAGCGGUCGGGGGAACGCAGCCUACCAUCACCACAUGCUUCACCUAGAAAUAAUUAAACAUUAUAUUUUGUCUCUUUCGUUCAUAUAUGAAACUCGUAACUAAUGUCAAACAAGUUUGUGUGGUUUUUUUUAUUGCUUAGGUGAGUGGAGGAGCUCAGAGCCCACCUGGUGUUAAGUGGUUACUGGAGCCCAUAGACAUCCGUACAACGUAAAUGCGCCACCUACCUUGAGAUACAAGUUCUAAGUUCUCAAGUAUAGUUACAACGGCUGCCCUGCCCUUCAAACCGAAACGGAUUACUGCUUCACGGCAGAAAUAAGCAGAAUGGUGGUACCUACCCGCGCGGACUCACAAGAGGUCCUACCACCAGUAACGAAACAAUAAAACUACGUACUAUUAUUCAUUUUUUUUUGGGCGUAUCAUCUCUAUAGUAAGUAAAGUAUAACAAUUGUAAUUAUUGAAAAAUGUAUUGUUAACAUGCUUACAGGAAGUCUGUCAUAGAACAAAUAAUUCUACAAAACGACUGAGCUUCUUUCUGUAUCUACAUAAAUAAAAUACAUUAAUACAAUAA